UGAGUGUUAGUUGAGAAGAUGGAUCC
This 26-nucleotide non-coding RNA is filed under the name Mus musculus (house mouse). Lineage: Eukaryota; Metazoa; Chordata; Mammalia; Rodentia; Muridae. The record is from RNAcentral.